AACAAAUACUUUUUUGUGUAUUUCGUAGGUUUUCCUUGCUACCAUUUGUGCUUUGGCCUACAGUGCACCACACCCAGGAUUUUUGGGAAAACAUGAGCACCAUAUCGUUCAUGUGCCAUACAAAGUGCACACCAUCCAUCACCAUCAUGUACAAAAGGUUCCUGUCAUCAAGGAGAUCAUAAAGGAAGUUCCGGUGAUCAAGCAUGUUCCGGUCUACAAAGAAGUUCAUGUUCCAGUUUACAAGGAAGUCCAUGUUCCCGUUCAUGUUGAGGAACAUCAUAAAGAAUCUUGGGCACCAUCAUCAUCCGGCUGGUAUUAAAUAAAAUAAAACAUAUCAAGAGUUGAUAAGAGAAGAAAUGAUAAAAAGAAAACGAAUUUAUUUAGAACACAAAUUGUACAAAAGAAUUUUUUUUAAUAUUUUUUUUGUUUAUUUAAAAAAAAGCUUUACUCAUAAUUGUUAAGUUUAGUUAAAUGUUUUUUUGUUUGAUUUUGAUUUGUUUUAUAAUUUUAUUUUGUGUACAUACUCGUAUGUAAAUAUUUAGAUUUAUAAGAGUUUUUUUACCAUCCUGUAAAAUGUUA
Eupeodes corollae is the source of this 579-nucleotide long non-coding RNA. RefSeq lists it as uncharacterized. The transcript is spliced from 2 exons. The record is from RefSeq and is a predicted model, not a curated record. NCBI's taxonomy places the organism in Eukaryota, Metazoa, Arthropoda, Insecta, Diptera, Syrphidae.